UUUAUUAUGUGCUCUAAGGUCCACAUGGAUUAUCCUCAAAAUUCUUCUGUUUUCUGGGCUUCCAGGAGAGACUUAGUUAUACAAACAUGAGCUCAUCAGAGGCAAAGGAGUCUUUGUCCCACUUGGCUCUCUCAAGGGAAGGGAUGGGAUGAAUGCUGGGACAAACCCUGGACUAUUACAGUGGUUAAAAUCUUGGAAUCACAGAUUUUAGAUUGGAAAAGACUUUUAAGGUUAUUGAGUCCCACCAGUCCCAGGGAUCCAUGACCAACUCCUGGAGGAUGCUCCACUCUCUUUCACAACUGAGAUUUCUUCCAAGUUUCAGAACCUGUGUUAUUCUGGUGAUCA
Molecule: long non-coding RNA, 345 nt
Organism: Ficedula albicollis (Collared flycatcher)
Lineage: Eukaryota; Metazoa; Chordata; Aves; Passeriformes; Muscicapidae
Exons: 3
Source: RefSeq, a predicted model, not a curated record